RNAcentral lists this long non-coding RNA (244 nucleotides) under Ananas comosus (pineapple). RNAcentral describes it as "long non-coding RNA (ACOM_LNC030724)". The record is from RNAcentral. Lineage: Eukaryota; Viridiplantae; Streptophyta; Magnoliopsida; Poales; Bromeliaceae.
AUGUACUUCUCAUUGUUGCAUUAUUGCAUCGUUGCAUAUAGCAUGGCAUUAUUACAAUUGCGAGGCAAGGUAUGGUUCUAUUAAUUGCAUAGUCAAGAUAUCUAUCUAUCUGUUUAUUAAACUAACCUGCAGUUGCCUCCUUUGAACCUGUCGGUCGAGCUUUUCCCUUGGGUGGCCGUACCCACUGGGAACCAUCGAGUUGGUUCUCACCCCACGUUGAUUUUGGGUGUUACAGGUUCGCACG